This 222-nucleotide unclassified non-coding RNA is filed under the name uncultured Gammaproteobacteria bacterium. RNAcentral describes it as "contains 16S-23S intergenic spacer region". It matches the Rfam family "Bacterial small subunit ribosomal RNA", at positions 980 to 1197 of the family's 1533-position model. Lineage: Bacteria; Pseudomonadati; Pseudomonadota; Gammaproteobacteria. The record is from RNAcentral.
UACCCUUGACUUGUACGGAAGCCCGCAGAGAUGUGGGCGUGCCCGAAAGGGAGCCGUAACACAGGUGCUGCAUGGCUGUCGUCAGCUCGUGUCGUGAGAUGUUGGGUUAAGUCCCGUAACGAGCGCAACCCUUGUCAUUAGUUGCCACAUUAAGUUGGGCACUCUAAUGAGACUGCCGGUGACAAACCGGAGGAAGGUGGGGAUGACGUUUCUAGGAGGGUG